AUGAAUUUAGGGAAUUGAUGCUGGCCUUUGUGCAUGUGCUCGUUCCCUCUAAUCCAUUCACACCUGUGCACUUGUUUCAGAGUUUUAGGGGGAGAAAUCCCCCUACUCUGCUAAUUAUACACUCCUUAAAUUUACUAUGAAUGUUUAUCAAGUCGAAAGACUUUUAAAUUAAUA
Molecule: unclassified non-coding RNA, 174 nt
Filed under: uncultured Sistotrema
Lineage: Eukaryota; Fungi; Basidiomycota; Agaricomycetes; Corticiales; Corticiaceae
Description: sequence contains ITS1
Source: RNAcentral